CAUGAGUGGCGGACGGGUGAGUAACGCGUGGGCAACCUCGGCCUGUACAGGGGGAUAACACUUAGAAAUAGGUGCUAAUACCGCAUAACGGGGGAAGCCGCAUGGCUUUUCCCUGAAAACUCCGGUGGUACAGGAUGGGCCCGCGUCUGAUUAGCCAGUUGGCAGGGUAACGGCCUACCAAAGCGACGAUCAGUAGCCGGCCCGAGAGGGCGGACGGCCACACUGGGACUGAGACACGGCCCAGACUCCUACGGAAGGCAGCAG
Molecule: ribosomal RNA, 264 nt
Filed under: uncultured bacterium
Lineage: Bacteria
Description: partial 16S ribosomal RNA
Rfam family: Bacterial small subunit ribosomal RNA
Source: RNAcentral